GAUCCUGGCUCAGGAUGAACGCUAGCUACAGGCUUAACACAUGCAAGUCGAGGGGAAACGACAUCGAAAGCUUGCUUUUGAUGGGUGUCGACCGGCGCACGGGUGAGUAACGCGUAUCCAACCUGCCCACCACUUGGGAAUAACCUUGCGAAAGUAAGACUAAUGCCCAAUGACAUUUAUAGAAGGCAUCUGAAAUGAAUUAAAGAUUUAUCGGUGAUGGAUGGGGAUGCGUCUGAUUAGCUUGUUGGCGGGGUAACGGCCCACCAAGGCGACGAUCAGUAGGGGUUCUGAGAGGAAGGUCCCCCACAUUGGAGCUGAGACACGGUCCAAACUCCUACGGGAGGCAGCAGUGAGGAAUAUUGGUCAAUGGGCGAGAGCCUGAACCAGCCAAGUAGCGUGCAGGAAGACGGCCCUAUGGGUUGUAAACUGCUUUUAUAGGGGAAUAAAGUGAGCCACGUGUGGUUUUUGCAUGUACCCUAUGAAUAAGGACCGGCUAAUUCCGUG
This 504-nucleotide ribosomal RNA is filed under the name uncultured bacterium. RNAcentral's name for it is "bacterial SSU rRNA". It matches the Rfam family "Bacterial small subunit ribosomal RNA", at positions 15 to 507 of the family's 1533-position model. The record is from RNAcentral.